RNAcentral lists this ribosomal RNA (472 nucleotides) under uncultured bacterium. RNAcentral describes it as "partial 16S ribosomal RNA". It matches the Rfam family "Bacterial small subunit ribosomal RNA", at positions 28 to 507 of the family's 1533-position model. The record is from RNAcentral.
GACGAACGCUGGCGGCGUGCUUAACACAUGCAAGUCGAACGCUGACGCGUGGUGCUUGCUCUCGGCGGAUGAGUGACGAACGGGUGAGUAAUACGAGAGUAACCUGCCCUUGACUCUGGCAUCGCCCAGGGAUACCGGGUCUCACACAGGAUACGCCAUGUCACCGCAUGGUUGUUUGUGGAUAGCGCUUUACUGGCUUUGGAUGGGCGCACGGCCUAUCAGCGUGUUGGUGGGGUAACGGCUCACCAAGCCGACGGCGGUUAGCCGGCAUGAGAGGUUGGCCGGCGACACUGGGACUGCGACACGGCCCAGACUCGUACGGGAGGCAGCAGUGGGGAAUAUUGCACAAUGAGCGGAAGUCUGAUGCGACGACGCCGGGUGUGUGAUGACGGCCUUGGAGUAGUAAACCUCUGUCAGCUAGGAAGAAGCGAAAGUGACGGUACGUGCAGAAGAAGCGCCGGCUAACUACGUG